UUUUUUUUUUGGCAUGAUUGACUGAAUAUUGUUUAUGUCAUUUCAUUUAUAAAAUCCACGUGGCUCUGUGAAUUAAAGCCUGACUUAUAAAAUCAUUUGUCCUCUCUUCCUUUUAUAAAAUUAUUAUUAACUUCCUGAAAAGAAAAGAGAGAGAGAAAAAAAACAUUCCAUUUGCCUUAGGAAAUAAAACGACACGUCGUUUCUGCACUUAGAUAAAACGACAAAAAGAAAAGAAAAGAAAAGAAAAGAAGAAGUUGAAUUGUGGAGGGAAGAAAGAAAAGUUUGGAUUUUUGGAGGAAAAUGGGGUAUGGUCUUAAUCACUGCACGUUUUCUCGUGAUUCGUGUACAAAAACUUAAAACCCUCAUUAAACCCAAAGAUCAACCACAGCUACACCAGAUCAUGGAGACCCAUAUACAACAAAAACACACUCACAAGAAUACAUACUUCUCUCUCUUCACUUCAGCCCUCUCUCUCUCUUCAUUUCUUUCUUUUUAUUUUCUCUGUAUGUACAUAUAUAGAUACAGAGUGUGUGUUUGAAAGAGAGAGAGAGUGAGCGAGUGAAGAGGGUUACUGUCUUUUAAGCUAGGGCUUCUGAGAUGGCAUUUGCAAAUGAGCUUCAUUCUGGUUUUCAUGGUGUUUUGUUUUCUACAUUCUUCUCUAAACAACUUUUAUUGGGUUACGGUUUCUUCUCCACAAGAUUAAGAGAGUGCAGUGAUCCAUGUACAGAUGAGGAGUCUCCCUCUGUUAUUGCACCAUUGGAAUAUGUAAACCGAUAGGUGUAUAUGCUGAGUAGGGAAUGAAGCCGUUGGUCCGUCAAGCAUGUCAAUAGGAGGUGUUGUUGAAUUGACAUUAUAUUUGUAAUGAUGUUUACAAAUACUCAGUUUAACAUAUUUUUGGAUUGUGCUUGUUAUUAUUAUUAUUAUUAUUAGCUCAUUGUUAUAGUCAAAUCAAUCUACUUUGCACUCUUUGGUAACUACCUAUUUACUACCAAUUCAUAUCAAAAGAAAA
Cannabis sativa is the source of this 1009-nucleotide long non-coding RNA. RefSeq lists it as uncharacterized. The record is from RefSeq and is a predicted model, not a curated record. The transcript is spliced from 2 exons. NCBI's taxonomy places the organism in Eukaryota, Viridiplantae, Streptophyta, Magnoliopsida, Rosales, Cannabaceae.